UCUGGUACGGGCGCCGGAUCGAGGACAGUGUAUGGUGGGCAGUUUGACUGGGGCGGUCUCCUCCUAAAGAGUAACGGAGGAGUACGAAGGUGCGCUCAGACCGGUCGGAAAUCGGUCGCAGAGUAUAAAGGCAAAAGCGCGCUUGACUGCGAGACAGACAC
RNAcentral lists this ribosomal RNA (161 nucleotides) under Pseudomonas aeruginosa. RNAcentral describes it as "partial 23S ribosomal RNA". It matches the Rfam family "Bacterial large subunit ribosomal RNA", at positions 2227 to 2387 of the family's 2925-position model. Lineage: Bacteria; Pseudomonadati; Pseudomonadota; Gammaproteobacteria; Pseudomonadales; Pseudomonadaceae. The record is from RNAcentral.